GACGAACGCUGGCGGCGUGCCUAAUACAUGCAAGUAGAACGCUGAAGGAGGAGCUUGCUUCUCCGGAUGAGUUGCGAACGGGUGAGUAACGCGUAGGUAACCUGCCUGGUAGCGGGGGAUAACUAUUGGAAACGAUAGCUAAUACCGCAUAAUAGCAGUUAUUGCAUGAUAACUGUUUGAAAGGUGCAAUUGCACCACUACCAGAUGGACCUGCGUUGUAUUAGCUAGUUGGUGGGGUAACGGCUCACCAAGGCGACGAUACAUAGCCGACCUGAGAGGGUGAUCGGCCACACUGGGACUGAGACACGGCCCAGACUCCUACGGGAGGCAGCAGUAGGGAAUCUUCGGCAAUGGACGGAAGUCUGACCGAGCAACGCCGCGUGAGUGAAGAAGGUUUUCGGAUCGUAAAGCUCUGUUGUAAGAGAAGAACGAGUGUGAGAGUGGAAAGUUCGCACU
RNAcentral lists this ribosomal RNA (456 nucleotides) under Streptococcus mitis. RNAcentral's name for it is "bacterial SSU rRNA". It matches the Rfam family "Bacterial small subunit ribosomal RNA", at positions 28 to 470 of the family's 1533-position model. The record is from RNAcentral. Lineage: Bacteria; Bacillati; Bacillota; Bacilli; Lactobacillales; Streptococcaceae.